This 251-nucleotide non-coding RNA is filed under the name Clostridium cylindrosporum. Its description in RNAcentral is "T-box sequence". It matches the Rfam family "T-box leader". Rfam says of the family: Uncharged tRNA acts as the effector for transcription antitermination of genes in the T-box leader family. T-boxes are found upstream of many aminoacyl-tRNA synthetase genes and some amino acid biosynthetic genes usually in Gram-positive bacteria. Lineage: Bacteria; Bacillati; Bacillota; Clostridia; Eubacteriales; Clostridiaceae. The record is from RNAcentral.
UUCAAAUCGUUGAGUAAGAGAAGUAGGCAUUUUGGAGAACGCAGAGAGUCGAUGGAUGGUGUGAAUCGAUUUCAAAGGAAUGUUGAAUGGACUUACGAGAGGAAACUGAAAUCAUUAUGAAAGUAGGGGACACGGCUUCCACCGUUAAAGGGAUAGGAUAUCGAAAAUAGUUUUUUCUGUAUCUGAAUUUGAGAUAAGUGCUUUUGCAUUUAAUUAGAGGUGGCACCGCGUUAGUAUACAUCGCCCUCUAU